CUACGGGUUGCAGCAGUGAGGAAUUUUGCGCAAUGGGGGGAACCCUGACGCAGCAACGCCGCGUGAGUGAUGAAGGCUUUCGGGUCGUAAAGCUCUGUCAAGUGGGAAGAACCUAUGCAGUGUUAAUAUCACUGUAUACUGACGGUACCACUGAAGGAAGCACCGGCUAACUCCGUGCCAGCAGCCGCGGUAAUACGGGGGGUGCAAGCGUUAUUCGGAAUCAUUGGGCGUAAAGGGCACGUAGGCGGCUUGGUAAGUUAGAUGUGAAAGCCCGGGGCUUAACCCCGGAAGUGCAUUUGGUACUGUCAGGCUUGAGUAUGGGAGAGGGAAGUGGAAUUCCUGGUGUAGAGGUGAAAUUCGUAGAUAUCAGGAGGAACACCGGUGGCGAAGGCGACUUCCUGGACCAAUACUGACGCUGAGGUGCGAAGGCGUGGGUAGCAAACAGGAUUAGAUACCCUAGUAGUC
Molecule: ribosomal RNA, 465 nt
Filed under: uncultured bacterium
Lineage: Bacteria
Description: partial 16S ribosomal RNA
Rfam family: Bacterial small subunit ribosomal RNA
Source: RNAcentral